This 497-nucleotide ribosomal RNA is filed under the name uncultured bacterium. RNAcentral's name for it is "partial 16S ribosomal RNA". It matches the Rfam family "Bacterial small subunit ribosomal RNA", at positions 28 to 507 of the family's 1533-position model. The record is from RNAcentral.
GACGAACGCUGGCGGCGUGCCUAAUACAUGCAAGUUGAGCGCUGAAGGUUGGUACUUGUACCAACUGGAUGAGCAGCGAACGGGUGAGUAACGCGUGGGGAAUCUGCCUUUGAGCGGGGGACAACAUUUGGAAACGAAUGCUAAUACCGCAUAAAAACUUUAAACACAAGUUUUAAGUUUGAAAGAUGCAAUUGCAUCACUCAAAGAUGAUCCCGCGUUGUAUUAGCUAGUUGGUGAGGUAAAGGCUCACCAAGGCGAUGAUACAUAGCCGACCCGAGAGGGGGAUCGGCCAAAUUGGGACUGGGACACGGCCCAAACUCCUACGGGAGGCAGCAGUAGGGAAUCUUCGGCAAUGGACGAAAGUCUGACCGAGCAACGCCGCGUGAGUGAAGAAGGGUUUCGGAUCGUAAAACUCGGUUGGUAGAGAAGAACGUUGGUGAGAGUGGAAAGCUCAUCAAGUGACGGUAACUACCCAGAAAGGGACGGCUAACUACGUG